UAAUAAGUGUUUUAUGGCACUUUUUAAAUCCAUAUCCACCUUGUGUACAAUGUCGGUCGAUCUUCUUCUUUGAGGAUUGACCAAACAUCAACCUUUAUCUUUUAACUCUUUGUCUGAAAAAUAUUAUGAAUAAACAAUUCAAAAUA
RNAcentral lists this unclassified non-coding RNA (146 nucleotides) under soil metagenome. RNAcentral's name for it is "partial internal transcribed spacer 1". The record is from RNAcentral.